UACCCUCCCAACAAUGGCACUCAAAUUCUCUCAUUUUCUCAUGCCCUCUCUGUCACAUUCGUAGCUCGAUCUCCUUCUUCUGGGACUUAGCGUUCUGAGCAUGCGGUUUUUGCAACGGCCAUUUCGUGCCGCUUCGAUCUCAUCACCUUCUCUCCCCUCCCACCCCCCUUUUUGAUCCACACUUCGGGGCUUGCAAAUUUUUGACAUGUCAAAUGAGAGUGAAGCCAAAAUGUAAACAGCAAGUUUUUGCGUGUGCGGCGAUCUUAUUAAACAUAAAACUAACCACGACAGUAUUAUUUAGUUGUGGUGGAAGCCAAAAAAAUAGCUUGGAGCAUUCAAUAAAGCAGGAUGAAAUUUUUAACCUUCAAGCACGACGCUGACGCUGAGGUAAGGUGUGCUUGUGUUUAAUUUCGAUGAUUGUUUCAUUUUAGGAUGUGAUUUGUGCCAUAUAACCUUUUCUGACGGGGAUUAUUUAGUCGACAUCGUCUGCAGCUGUUAAGCGGUGCAGAGGAAGGGGCUCGCUACGACCCUUCCCACACCCGGACGCUUUUUCCGGGGAUGAAGGAAAUGUUCCCGGUUAUAUGCGCAAAAUCUAACGGUAACCCGUGUUGUGAACGAAUCGGCAUAUGCGGUGCCGGACACUGUGGAAAUUGUACACAACGGGACGAUGUCCAGGCACGACACAAGAGUACGAUUACAUGCAACUGAUCUGCUCAGCGUGCCACCUGAUGCUGGCGUUCGGCAAGACACAGAAGGAAAGGAUUUCGACGUGUGGAACAAGGAUGUGCUGAAUGCGUUUCUGAUCGAUAUCACGUGGAUCAUUCUACUGCGACUAUAAGGGAUACUUGCUGGAUUGUAUUCGUGACAGGGCCGGCCAGAAGGGUGUGGGCAAGUUGACGGAAAUUGUCGCAAUGUACCAUAGCGUUCCGGUGAUGCCAAAAGACGAAGCAGACUUCUCCAGCUACUUAUCCACGCCGAAGGAUGAACGUGCUCAGGGCAGCAAACAACUCGCUGGAGCACGGAGCGCGAAAGGCAUCGUACGCGCAAGGCUUCAUGCUGCUGCGCGAAGCGUAUGUAUGGCGUUGCUUGCUUGUACUUAAACAUAUACAUCUUUGAGUUGUAUGAGUCCCGUAAAUGGUCGUGCCACUUGAAAACAUACGUUCCCAUUAGACCUCAUCAACAGAUCAUUUAAUAAACGACGGCGCUGUAUUGAAAGCGGUUAAUGGUAGACCUCAAAACUGGUUAGCACUUGAUAAAAAGUUCUACACAAGGACACUCCUGGGAACUACUCGUCGAAGCAUCCGGAGCUCGUCCGACGUUUGAUGUCAUGAUUAUCUAAAAUAAUAGGUACAGAUUUACCGGAAGCCGAACAACUAUUUCACUAACUAAUACGAGCUGGAAUAGGACAAAACGUAAAUCCGGAACUGAUUUUUAGCUACUCAAAACGACGCCACUUGUCGACUUGUUAUUGUUCAAUAAAACGCAUGCAAACCAAA
Long non-coding RNA from Anopheles gambiae (African malaria mosquito), 1496 nucleotides. RefSeq lists it as uncharacterized. The record is from RefSeq and is a predicted model, not a curated record. NCBI's taxonomy places the organism in Eukaryota, Metazoa, Arthropoda, Insecta, Diptera, Culicidae. The transcript has 6 exons.